CAACAUUGCUGGAACAUCGGGGCCAUAACCCUCAGGGUUGAUCAGCAACCAACUCAGAAAGGAAACAAUAGGUCCGGACGUCAUAGCCCCGAUCUUCGUACCAAAGCCCAACCGGUCGAAGUCGAGGAACUCCUUCUUGUCGAGAUUCACAAUGAUGUACUCAAUGCCCAUGGUGCGGCCUAACAGGUAUUGAGCCAAACUGCGAAUUGGCCUAGCACGGCUUGAUUUGGCCUGCGGUGCAU
This 242-nucleotide unclassified non-coding RNA is filed under the name uncultured bacterium. RNAcentral's name for it is "contains 16S-23S intergenic spacer region". The record is from RNAcentral.